AAUAACUCUACAUGGACCAAGCAAGUGUAAAUGACAAUAUUGCCAUUAAUGAAAAUGCAUUCUCAACCACUAAAUCACUUCACAUCUCCUUUAGGACGUUAAUCUGAUAUGGACCAAAAGCGUAAAAAAUAAUCUAUUACCUCCUAUUUUAAUCUAUAUGGACCACUUCAGGUGAAUUUAUACUUAUACCCUUAAUAAUUUUUUUGUCUUUUACCUCUCCAACCAACCAAUCAAGAAACACUUGGACCCACU
RNAcentral lists this long non-coding RNA (252 nucleotides) under Brassica napus (rape). RNAcentral describes it as "long non-coding RNA (BNAP_LNC011796)". Lineage: Eukaryota; Viridiplantae; Streptophyta; Magnoliopsida; Brassicales; Brassicaceae. The record is from RNAcentral.